This 24-nucleotide non-coding RNA is filed under the name Arabidopsis thaliana (thale cress). The record is from RNAcentral. Lineage: Eukaryota; Viridiplantae; Streptophyta; Magnoliopsida; Brassicales; Brassicaceae.
AUAUAGCACAAAUCACGAAAAUGC